UACGUAGGGUGCGAGCGUUGUCCGGAAUUAUUGGGCGUAAAGAGCUCGUAGGCGGUGUGUCACGUCGGCCGUGAAAACCUGCAGCUUAACUGUGGGCGUGCGGUCGAUACGGGCAUCACUGGAGUUCGGCAGGGGAGACUGGAAUUCCUGGUGUAGCGGUGAAAUGCGCAGAUAUCAAGAGGAACACCUGCGGCGAAGGCGGGUUGCUGGGCCGACACUGACGCUGAAGCGCGAAAGCCAGGGGAGCGAACGGG
RNAcentral lists this ribosomal RNA (254 nucleotides) under uncultured bacterium. RNAcentral's name for it is "partial 16S ribosomal RNA". It matches the Rfam family "Bacterial small subunit ribosomal RNA", at positions 524 to 776 of the family's 1533-position model. The record is from RNAcentral.